RNAcentral lists this unclassified non-coding RNA (301 nucleotides) under Hevea brasiliensis (rubber tree). Lineage: Eukaryota; Viridiplantae; Streptophyta; Magnoliopsida; Malpighiales; Euphorbiaceae. The record is from RNAcentral.
UGGAAACAAUCUAUCUGCAAAGACCUAAUGUCAUUUUUUUUUCUUCUCUUUAAAUGGAUAAAUGCAGAUGUUGUGGGAUCACAAAGCUUUUAUUUUGCAUAAUUUUUUCUUGUCCAACCAUUAAAAGAAUCAUUAGAUAUAAUAACUUGGUAGGCCUAUAUUGAAUUUCUAAUGGCCCAAGGACCAGAGGUUAAUAAAGAGUUGUUUAUGAACCAUUUUGUGAAGUCAAAAACGCAAUAAGAUUGGUGUCUAAAGAUCAUGACUCAGCUUUCUUAUGUCACUAUAGUAAACACAUUUAAUA